This 253-nucleotide ribosomal RNA is filed under the name uncultured bacterium. RNAcentral's name for it is "partial 16S ribosomal RNA". It matches the Rfam family "Bacterial small subunit ribosomal RNA", at positions 524 to 776 of the family's 1533-position model. The record is from RNAcentral.
GACAGAGGGGGCAAGCGUUGUCCGGAAUUACUGGGCGUAAAGCGCACGCAGGCGGCACGGCAAGUGGGGUGUGACACCGCGUGGCUCAACCACGCGCCGCCAUCCCAAACUGCCGCGCUUGAGCCGUGCAGAGGCCAGUGGAAUUGCCGGUGUAGGAGUGACAUCCGUAGAGACCGGCAGGAACACCGAUGGGGAAGCCAGCUGGCUGGGCACGUGCUGACGCUCAGGUGCGAUAGCGUGGGGAGCAAACCGG